CCAAUGUGGAUACACUGGGGGGUCACUCUUCCCAGGCUCAGUCCAGGUGGCCUAAGGGGAGCACAGGCCUCUGCUCCAUGAUGUACAGUCCCUUUCCACGACGUUGGAGAUGAAGCUGGGCCUCGAGCCUGCACCUGUGUAGUCCUACAGCUUCUCAGAGUCCUAUAGACAAUGACUGAGGAGACAAACCAUGCAGGAAACAUAG
Molecule: small nucleolar RNA, 205 nt
Filed under: Dasypus novemcinctus (nine-banded armadillo)
Lineage: Eukaryota; Metazoa; Chordata; Mammalia; Cingulata; Dasypodidae
Description: Small nucleolar RNA SNORA73 family (ENSDNOG00000029239.1)
Rfam family: Small nucleolar RNA SNORA73 family
About the family: U17 (SNORA73A and SNORA73B) also known as E1 belongs to the H/ACA class of small nucleolar RNAs (snoRNAs).
Source: RNAcentral